This 140-nucleotide ribosomal RNA is filed under the name uncultured Bacillota bacterium. Its description in RNAcentral is "uncultured Firmicutes bacterium partial 16S ribosomal RNA". It matches the Rfam family "Bacterial small subunit ribosomal RNA", at positions 371 to 528 of the family's 1533-position model. Lineage: Bacteria; Bacillati; Bacillota. The record is from RNAcentral.
GCAGGGGGAACCCUGACGCAGCAACGCCGCGUGAAUGAUGAAGGCCUUCGGGUUGUAAAGUUCUGUCUUCUGGGACGAUAAUGACGGUACCAGAGGAGGAAGCCACGGCUAACUACGUGCCAGCAGCCGCGGUAAUACGA